CAGCCGCCGCGGUAAUACGGAGGAUCCGAGCGUUAUCCGGAAUUAUUGGGUUUAAAGGGUGCGUAGGCGGAUAGAUAAGUCAGUGGUGAAAGACGGUGGCUCAACCAUCGCAGUGCCGUUGAUACUGUUUAUCUUGAAUAUGGAUGAGGUAGGCGGAAUGUGGCAAGUAGCGGUGAAAUGCAUAGAUAUGCCACAGAACACCGAUUGCGAAGGCAGCUUACCAAGGCAAAAUUGACGCUGAGGCACGAAAGCGUGGGGAUCGAACAGGAUUAGAGACCCCCGGUAGUCCCUGUCUCUUAUU
Molecule: ribosomal RNA, 301 nt
Filed under: uncultured bacterium
Lineage: Bacteria
Description: partial 16S ribosomal RNA
Rfam family: Bacterial small subunit ribosomal RNA
Source: RNAcentral